GGGAAUAUGGUUCAGUUGGUAGAGUGAGUGCCUUGAAUGCACAAGGCCCUGGGUUCGAUCCCCAGCACCA
This 70-nucleotide transfer RNA is filed under the name Ictidomys tridecemlineatus (thirteen-lined ground squirrel). Its description in RNAcentral is "Spermophilus tridecemlineatus (thirteen-lined ground squirrel) tRNA". It matches the Rfam family "tRNA". From Rfam's summary of the family: Transfer RNA (tRNA) molecules are approximately 80 nucleotides in length. Their secondary structure includes four short double-helical elements and three loops (D, anti-codon, and T loops). Lineage: Eukaryota; Metazoa; Chordata; Mammalia; Rodentia; Sciuridae. The record is from Rfam by way of RNAcentral.